GCCGGACUGGCGGGGUUUGGCCUGUCGUUGGUGUAUCCGGCACUGGGCGUGGAGGCGAUCAAGCAGGUACCGAGUUCCAGUCGCGGUGCCGGGUU
RNAcentral lists this transfer RNA (95 nucleotides) under Pseudomonas fluorescens. Its description in RNAcentral is "tRNA-Gly". The record is from RNAcentral. Lineage: Bacteria; Pseudomonadati; Pseudomonadota; Gammaproteobacteria; Pseudomonadales; Pseudomonadaceae.